GGGUGCUUGGCGCAAUGGCUAGCGUGUUUGGCUUCGAUGCCUCACGUCCCGAACACGUGAUUUCCUACCAAAAGGUUGCAGGUUCGAGUCCUGCAGCGCUCA
This is a non-coding RNA of Mycena amicta, 102 nucleotides long. The record is from the annotation of a GenBank genome assembly. NCBI's taxonomy places the organism in Eukaryota, Fungi, Basidiomycota, Agaricomycetes, Agaricales, Mycenaceae.